Long non-coding RNA from Syzygium oleosum, 1207 nucleotides. RefSeq lists it as uncharacterized. NCBI's taxonomy places the organism in Eukaryota, Viridiplantae, Streptophyta, Magnoliopsida, Myrtales, Myrtaceae. The record is from RefSeq and is a predicted model, not a curated record. The transcript is spliced from 7 exons.
AGGUAAGGAGAUAGCUGUUCCGGAAGAAGACACGAAACGACAUUCGAAUGUUGUUUUCUUUGGCCUUGUUGAUGCUGGGAAAUCAACAACUGGAGGAAAGAUACUGUUUCCAAGUGGUCAGGUUGAUGAUCGUACUAUACAAAAGUAUGAAAAAGAAGCCAAGAAUAAAAGCAGGGAAAGUCGGCGAGACUUCUGUUGGAUUGUAGAACCUGAUAAUCAUCAUUCAUGCGGUUUCUUUAUUGCUUUUACGCAAUGAAUAUAAUUGAUUUGUGAUUGUAUCUCACCUAGCUCUUUCAAUAGCUAGUGGUACAUUUUACAUGAGUAGAUGGUUGACUCUCCUUAGCUGUGUGAUAUAGGGAAUGUCAGUUUUCUUGUGGGAGCUGUUUUCUAUAGCAAGGCUUUCUCGUACAUUAUACAUUAUUGCUUUCAACCAUGCUUUAUUGAUCAUGUGGUCUGAAUCAGGUACAUGGCCUAUAUUAUGGAUACCGAUGAGGAGGAAAGAGUUAAGGGUAAACUGUUGAGGUUGGAAGAGCACAUUUUGAAAUGGAGACCACUAGAUUUACUAUUCUUGAUGCACCGGGCCAGAAAAGUUAUGUCCCCCAACAUGAUCAGUGGGGCAUGCCAGGCUGAUAUAGGCGUGCUGGUAAUUUCUGCUCGGAAGGGUGAAUUCGAAACUGGUUAUGAGAAAGGUGGUCAAACCCGUGAGCAUGUUCAGCUUGCAAAAAACCUUGGGUGUUUCGAAGCUACUUGUAGUCGUAAAUAAAAUGGAUGACCCCACUGUCAAUUGGUAUAAAGAAAGGUACGAUGAAAUUGAAUCCAAGAGGAUGCCUCUCUUGAAAUCUUCGGGUUACAAUGUUAAAAAAGACGUACAGUUCUUACCUAUUUCUGGCCUGGUUGGAACGAACAUGAAAACCAGAGCACUGGUCCGGGGUGCAGAUUCGCCACCAUCGGAUGGAGCCUUAGGUCAGGAUCGUCGCCGCGUACAGUGGCACCGUCGCCGUCAUCAACGUGGUGUGGUAGAAGUCCGACCCCGAGAUCAUCGAAGUAAUAACAAUCGUUUAUAGGAGGGAACUUACUAUAAAAAGUCAAGAAAAUAAUAAUUGCUCAUGAAAGUAAUUUUCUUACAUAUCGAAAUUUGCUACAGUCAAUUUUAAGAUUGGGCGAUUUUUGACGUCAUCUUUCACGGUUGAAAGAAUCGGUUUCUUCU